ACCAGGUGUCUCCAGGGUCCAGGGUUAUGUCCUCCCCUCUGCAGAGAGUUAAGUAAAUCUCUCUGGAUUUGUCUCACUGUCUAUGCAGUUGCCAAUUAACUUGAAAAGCUUGUUCUUAGUCCAGGACCCCAAAUUUGAGUAAAAUUGGCUCAGAAAACCCCAACUGUGGAGGAACCCAAUAAUAUUUCCUUUGCAAUCCCGCAGUAAACAUAUUGCACAUGCCUUCUAGCUCUAAUCCUUUCCCCUUUCCUAUUUCACAGAGCUCAAGGAGGGCUUAUCAGGCUUUCUGGGUAUUCUGUGAGGCAUAAGCUCACUAGAAGGGCUGCAUCAAACUUACCUGGAACGAAUGGCAAGGACUCUUGACGUGUGUCUUUAACCCAUCUUGCCAAUUAGAUCAUGAAUCACUGCAGGUAGUGUCUUUUCUUGAGGUCUGCAGAAGCUUCAGGAUUUUUAACACACUUCUUUGACCACACUGGGCAGCAAAAUGUUUGUUUGUUGACUUUCUUUUUCUUUUUUAUGAGACAGAGCGUUGCUCUGUUG
This 540-nucleotide long non-coding RNA is filed under the name Homo sapiens (human). Its description in RNAcentral is "HSALNT0118109". Lineage: Eukaryota; Metazoa; Chordata; Mammalia; Primates; Hominidae. The record is from RNAcentral.